Molecule: ribosomal RNA, 253 nt
Filed under: uncultured bacterium
Lineage: Bacteria
Description: partial 16S ribosomal RNA
Rfam family: Bacterial small subunit ribosomal RNA
Source: RNAcentral
GACGUAGGGCGCGAGCGUUGUCCGGAUUUAUUGGGCGUAAAGAGCUCGUAGGCGGCUCGUUGCGUCGGCUGUGAAAACCCGCAGCUCAACUGUGGGCUUGCAGCUGAUACGGGCGGGCUGGAGUUCGGUAGGGGAGACUGGAAUUCCUGGUGUAGCGGUGAAAUGCGCAGAUAUCAGGAAGAACACCCGUGGCGAAGGCGGCUCUCUGGAACGCAACUGACGCUGAGACGCGAAAGCGUGGGGAGCAAACAGG